Molecule: ribosomal RNA, 605 nt
Filed under: Staphylococcus aureus
Lineage: Bacteria; Bacillati; Bacillota; Bacilli; Caryophanales; Staphylococcaceae
Description: partial 23S ribosomal RNA
Rfam family: Bacterial large subunit ribosomal RNA
Source: RNAcentral
GUCGCCUCCUAAAAGGUAACGGAGGCGCUCAAAGGUUCCCUCAGAAUGGUUGGAAAUCAUUCAUAGAGUGUAAAGGCAUAAGGGAGCUUGACUGCGAGACCUACAAGUCGAGCAGGGUCGAAAGACGGACUUAGUGAUCCGGUGGUUCCGCAUGGAAGGGCCAUCGCUCAACGGAUAAAAGCUACCCCGGGGAUAACAGGCUUAUCUCCCCCAAGAGUUCACAUCGACGGGGAGGUUUGGCACCUCGAUGUCGGCUCAUCGCAUCCUGGGGCUGUAGUCGGUCCCAAGGGUUGGGCUGUUCGCCCAUUAAAGCGGUACGCGAGCUGGGUUCAGAACGUCGUGAGACAGUUCGGUCCCUAUCCGUCGUGGGCGUAGGAAAUUUGAGAGGAGCUGUCCUUAGUACGAGAGGACCGGGAUGGACAUACCUCUGGUGUACCAGUUGUCGUGCCAACGGCAUAGCUGGGUAGCUAUGUGUGGACGGGAUAAGUGCUGAAAGCAUCUAAGCAUGAAGCCCCCCUCAAGAUGAGAUUUCCCAACUUCGGUUAUAAGAUCCCUCAAAGAUGAUGAGGUUAAUAGGUUCGAGGUGGAAGCAUGGUGACAUGUGG